GUGCCAUCAUCCGCGGUAAUACGUGUGGUGCAAUCUUUAAUCAGAAUUACUGGGCGUAAAGAGCUCGUAGGCGGUUUUUUAAGUCAGAUGUGAAAUCCCUGGGCUUAACCUAGGAACUGCAUUUGAAACUGAAAAACUAGAGUAUCGUAGAGGGAGGUAGAAUUCUAGGUGUAGCGGUGAAAUGCGUAGAUAUCUGGAGGAAUACCUGUGGCGAAAGCGGCCUCCUAGACGAAUACUGACGCUGAGGUGCGAAAGCGUGGGGAGCAAACAGGAUUAGAAACCCCAGUAGUCC
RNAcentral lists this ribosomal RNA (292 nucleotides) under Buchnera aphidicola (Prociphilus longianus). Its description in RNAcentral is "partial 16S ribosomal RNA". It matches the Rfam family "Bacterial small subunit ribosomal RNA", at positions 505 to 796 of the family's 1533-position model. Lineage: Bacteria; Pseudomonadati; Pseudomonadota; Gammaproteobacteria; Enterobacterales; Erwiniaceae. The record is from RNAcentral.